GUGGGGAAUCUUCCGCAAUGGACGAAAGUCUGACGGAGCAACGCCGCGUGAGUGAAGAAGGUUUUCGGAUCGUAAAGCUCUUUCGUUAGGGACGAACGUGCUCUUUGUGAAUAAUGAGGAGUAAUGACGGUACCUAAAUAAGAAGCCACGGCUAACUACGUGCCAGCAGCCGCGGUAAUACGUAGGUGGCAAGCGUUGUCCGGAAUUAUUGGGCGUAAAGCGCGCGCAGGCGGUAUAUCAAGUCUGUCUUAAAAGUGCGAGGCUCAACCUCGUGAGGUGACAGAAACUGGUAUUCUUGAGUGUCGGAGAGGAAAGUGGAAUUCCAAGUGUAGCGGUGAAAUGCGUAGAGAUUUGGAAGAACACCAGUGGCGAAGGCGACUUUCUGGACGAUGUCUGACGCUGAGGCGCGAAAGCUAGGGGAGCGAACGGGAUUAGAUACCCGGGUAGUCC
This 450-nucleotide ribosomal RNA is filed under the name uncultured bacterium. RNAcentral's name for it is "partial 16S ribosomal RNA". It matches the Rfam family "Bacterial small subunit ribosomal RNA", at positions 354 to 796 of the family's 1533-position model. The record is from RNAcentral.